Molecule: non-coding RNA, 966 nt
Organism: Chiloscyllium plagiosum (whitespotted bambooshark)
Lineage: Eukaryota; Metazoa; Chordata; Chondrichthyes; Orectolobiformes; Hemiscylliidae
Source: RefSeq, a predicted model, not a curated record
UUUGAGCAGCAGUUUUUCCACUAUUUGCACACUGGGCCAGCACAGCGAGAACACAGAUUAAUGAUCACCUCCAGACAGCAGCGUAUCAUCAAUACAGCUCAUUAUCAUUUUACAGAAGAACUUUGCGUCAGUCGCCAGUAGUCGGGUUACGGUAACUGAUGGCCCACCUCUAGAGUUUUCAACAGCCAAGAGAUUUCAAGUCGGUCCCUGAUGCGCUUUAAUUCAAAACAGGCAAAGGUUUGCGAGGGAGCGCGGUGUGAAUUCUGAGAUAAAAACACACUGGCUUCGCCACAGUACGGUGCAGAACAACUGAGCCGAUCUUUUCACAGCUGCUGCCGUAAUCCCAAGGGUGGCCAGAAUGGCAUACAGUACUCCAGAAGAGGCCUCACCAACAUCCUGUACAACCUCAACAUAACUCCUAUGCUCAGAGGUCUAAGCAAAGAAGCUGAAGUUAGAGCUGAACAUUGAACGACCAAGACUUAAGGCUGGAACCUAUAUUGAACUACAGCAACCACGAUGGAGGAACCACAAUAAGAAGGAAAAACCAAAGGGAAAUCUGCCCCUUUUCAUUUUUAAGAGGAAGCCUCGCUGUCUAAGAUUUCAGUCUUGCAGCAGAAAACUCAAGAUUUCAGCUCCAGCAGCCAGCAAAGAAAACACCAACUAACUGAAGGGAAAAACCAAAAUCCUUUUGGGGCUGUUUAAGCCUGACCAUUCACGAUUCUUUUGUUACUAAACAAAAAGCACCCAGGGAGAGCUCAAAGCAGUUUACCAACUGCCUGUCUAUAGGAGACAUUUCAGCAUCACUGUGACAACAUCUCUCUGCAAAAGAAAUAGUGCAGAACACAUCUCUUAAACGCACAGUAUCGCCACACCACUCUUUCAAGGAUACAUCACUCUGGCGACCUCCAAGUGAAGCGAAGCUGUUGUCUCCUGCUUUCUAUUUAUAUGUUUGUCCUGGAUGGGGUU